Molecule: long non-coding RNA, 528 nt
Organism: Mus pahari (shrew mouse)
Lineage: Eukaryota; Metazoa; Chordata; Mammalia; Rodentia; Muridae
Exons: 3
Source: RefSeq, a predicted model, not a curated record
UCUUGCAGCAAAGCAUAUGCAUACAAGAAUACUAAAAAAUAAAAGGACAGCAAAGAAACUGUGGGACAGUAGGACUAGGAGGAGGUUGUUUUCUCACAGGUCGACCUCUGGCUAACUAAGGAACUGUCUGGAAGCCACUCUUGAGUGCUCAAAAGCCACUAUGCUUGGUGGGAGCUGGCGCCCUCUGGCUGGGGCUCUGAGUGAGCCCUGCCCACACCAUUGAAGGUGCCCUGAGCCGGUUUCACAGUUUUGCCAGGAAAGACUCACAGCCACCAGACCUGGGAGGAAAGAAAGAAGGACUUGAUGUUCAAGGAUACCUAAUGUGCUGUAUAGCUCACAUCUGAAAGUCGUCAUGAAAAUCAAGCUCCAUUCCUCUUCCAACGACCUAUUUUUUGAAACCUGGGAAGAUAGCCAUCCUGUCUGGUGCACCUGGAACUUCAGCUUUUCAGUAAAGGAAAAUCUCUCAAAAAAAAGUAACCACAAAAGGAAUGAACCCCGAAAAUUAGAAUUAGAGGUAACGCCCGAUCG